Stylophora pistillata is the source of this 584-nucleotide long non-coding RNA. The record is from RefSeq and is a predicted model, not a curated record. NCBI's taxonomy places the organism in Eukaryota, Metazoa, Cnidaria, Anthozoa, Scleractinia, Pocilloporidae.
AGCCUUUAUUUUUGAUCCAACGAUAACGGUUUCCUUACCACAGUGGCAAAUAUUUUGUUUGCCUAGGUCACCAAGCCUUAAAAUCCCACUUAAGGGAAAUUCUAUGCAACUGAAUGAAACGGACAUUUACUUCAACCGGAAGAGCCGACAAGCAAUGGUGCCCGUAUCCCAAACCACUUGACGGGCGAAGACUGUGAACUAAAAUCAAUAUCGUCCUCGCAUAUCUUUUGCUAAAAAAAAAAAUAAAAAAAAAUUCUGGAGGUGAAAUGUUACAUUUGACACAAUUAUUUGUUACAUUCAAACUGCCUCCAUUAUUAUGUUGUGAUUUUCAGUUCCUCUAGCUCUUCCUCAUCUCUCGGAGGAAAGAAAUGUGGUUAAUGUGCGCCAGGGAAAUGACAGUGAGAAGAAAUACAAUAAAAACAGAAGCUGCUGGAGUAAUGCAGCCCUUGGAGAAGUACGGAGAAGCACAGGAAACCCAAAAGUGUCUUUUUGCAAUCCAUAAUCCAAUCCUUCUACUUUGAUUAUUAUCAAGAUAUUUCAGUAAUAAUUUUUCUCUACAAUAAACUUCACAUGUCUUUUACCGA